This 1497-nucleotide ribosomal RNA is filed under the name Pinus taeda (loblolly pine). RNAcentral describes it as "bacterial SSU rRNA". It matches the Rfam family "Bacterial small subunit ribosomal RNA". The record is from RNAcentral. Lineage: Eukaryota; Viridiplantae; Streptophyta; Pinopsida; Pinales; Pinaceae.
AGAGUUGACCUGGCUCAAGAUGAAUGUUGGCAGCAUGCUUAACACAUGCAAGUCAGAUGGGAAGUGGUGUUUCCAGUAGCGGACGGGUGAGUAACGCAUAAGAGCCUGCCCUUGGGAGGGGAACAACAACUGGAAAUAGUUGCUAAUACCCCAAAGGCUGAGGAGCAAAAGGAUGAAUCUGCCCAAGGAGGAGCUCGCGUCUAAUUAGUUAUUUGGUGAGGCAAUGGCUUACUAAGAUGACGAUCAGUAGUUGGUCUAAGAGGAUGAUCAGCCACACUGGGACUGAGACCCACGGCCCAACUCCUACGGGAGCCAGCAGUAGGAAUUUUCCGCAAAGGGCGAAAGCCUGGACGAGCAAUGCCCGCGUGAAGGCAGAUAGCCACGGGUCAUGAACUUUAUUUCUGGAGAGAAGAAAAAAUGACGGUAUUUGAGGAAUAAGCAUCGACUAACUCUAUGCCAGCAGCCGCAGUAAGACAGAGGAUGCAAGUGUUAUCCAGAAUGAUUGGGAGUAAAGCGUCUGUAGGUGGCCGCUUUUCAAGUUCCCGCGUCAAAAUCCCUGGGCUCAACCCUGACAGCUAGUGGAAACUACCAAGCUGGAGUACGAGAGGCGCAGAGGAAUUAUCUGGUUUUGGAGCGGUGUGGAAAUGCCAUUGAGAUCGGAAAGAACCACCAAUGGUGAAAGCACUCUACUGUGGGCGACAACUUGACACUGAGAGACGGAAAGCUAGGGGAGCAAAUGGGAUUAAGAUACCCCAGUAGUCUAGCCAUAAACGAUUAUGGAUAUAAUGUUGCUGUGCCGUAUGACCCGCGCAGUCUGUAGCUACGCGUUAAGUUAUUCCCACCUGGGGAGUACGUUCGCAAGAAUGAACUCCAAAGGAAUUGACGGGGGCCCGCACAAGCGGUGGAGCAUUGUGGUUCAAUUCGAUGCAAGUGAAGAACCUUACCCAGGGCUUGACAUGCCGUGGAUCCUCCCGAAAGAGAGGAGUAGCCCUCGGGAACGCAGACACAGGUUGGUGCCAUGGCUGUCAGUGGUCAGCUUGUGCGUAAUGGUUUUGGGUUAAGUCCCGCAACGAGGGCAACCUUCGUAUUUAGUUGCCAACAUUGAGUUUGGAACCCCGAAUAGACUGUCAGUGAUAAGCCAAAGAAAGGUGAGGAUGAUGUCAAGUCAUCAUGCCCCGUAUGCCCUAGGCGACACAUGUGCUACAGUGACCUGGACAAAGGGUUGUGACCCCCACCGAGGCAGCUAACCUCAAAAACCCAGCCUCAGUUCGGAUUGCAGGUUGUAACUCGCCUGCAUGAAGCCAGAAUUGCUAGUAAUCGUCGGUCAGUCAUACGGCGGUGAAUCUGUUCCCGUGCCUUGUUCACACCGCCCAUCACACUAUGGGAGCUGGCCACGCCCCAAGUUGUUACCUUAACCACAAGGAGGGGGAUGCCAAAGGCUAAUCUAGUGACUGGAGUGAAGUUGUAACAAGGUAGUUGUACUGGAAUGUGUGGCUG